This 477-nucleotide ribosomal RNA is filed under the name uncultured bacterium. RNAcentral's name for it is "partial 16S ribosomal RNA". It matches the Rfam family "Bacterial small subunit ribosomal RNA", at positions 28 to 523 of the family's 1533-position model. The record is from RNAcentral.
GACGAACGCUGGCGGCGUACUUAACACAUGCAAGUCGAACGGUAAGGCCCUUCGGGGAGAAGCUAGCGGCGGACGGGUGAGUAACACGUGGGCAACCCGCCUCAUAGAGGGGAAUAGCCUCCCGAAAGGGAGAUUAAUACCGCAUAAGAUUGUAGUACCGCAUGGUAUAGCAAUUAAAGGAGUAAUCCGCUAUGAGAUGGGCCCGCGGCGCAUUAGCUAGUUGGUGAGGUAACGGCUCACCAAGGCGACGAUGCGUAGCCGACCUGAGAGGGUGAUCGGCCACAUUGGGACUGAGCCACGGCCCAGACUCCUACGGGAGGCAGCAGUGGGGAAUAUUGCACAAUGGGGGAAACCCUGAUGCAGCAAUGCCGCGUGAGUGAUGACGGCCUUCGGGUUGUAAAGCUCUGUCUUCGGGGACGAUAAUGGCGGUACCCGAGGAGGAAGCCACGGCUAACUACGUGCCAGCAGCCGCCGUAA